CACGUAGGCGGAGAUAUAAGUUGAAUGUGAAAUCCCAUGGCUUACCCAUGGAACUGCGUUCAAAACUGUAUUUCUUGAGUUUAGAAGGGGAAAGUGGAACUCCUAGUGGAGCGGUGAAAUGCGUUGAUAUUAGGAGGAACGCCGGUGGCGAAAGCGACUUUCUGGUCUGUAACUGACGCUGAGGUGCGAAAGCUAGGGGAGCAAACG
Molecule: ribosomal RNA, 207 nt
Filed under: uncultured bacterium
Lineage: Bacteria
Description: partial 16S ribosomal RNA
Rfam family: Bacterial small subunit ribosomal RNA
Source: RNAcentral